UGGGGAAUAUUGCACAAUGGGGGAAACCCUGAUGCAGCGACGCCGCGUGAGCGAUGAAGGCUUUCGAGUCGUAAAGCUCUGUCCUAUGGGAAGAUAAUGACGGUACCAUAGAAGAAAGCUCCGGCUAAUUACGUGCCAGCAGCCGCGGUAAUACGUAAGGGGCGAGCGUUGUCCGGAAUUAUUGGGCGUAAAGAGUGCGUAGGCGGACUAUUAAGUCAGGGGUGAAAUCCCGGGGCUCAACCCCGGAACUGCCUUUGAUACUGGUAGUCUUGAGUUCGAGAGGGGUGGGUGGAAUUCCGGGUGUAGAGGUGAAAUUCGUAAAUAUUCGGAGGAACACCAGUGGCGAAGGCGGCUCACUGGCUCGAUACUGACGCUGAGGUGCGAAAGCGUGGGGAGCAAACAGG
Molecule: ribosomal RNA, 404 nt
Filed under: Verrucomicrobiota bacterium
Lineage: Bacteria; Pseudomonadati; Verrucomicrobiota
Description: Verrucomicrobia bacterium partial 16S ribosomal RNA
Rfam family: Bacterial small subunit ribosomal RNA
Source: RNAcentral